CAAUAUUAUAUUUUAGUUAUAUCUUAAUUAUAAAAAAUUUAAAAAUGCUUCAACAUUUAAUAGUACAUGAUUUUUGUUUAUUUCGUACUGCCUCUAUUUAUUUAUUUUAUUACUCCUGAUUGCUCUUCAUCCAGUUAAUGGUUCUAACAAGUACUUACUGAUAGCAUUAUAUGCCAGCCGUGUAUGAAGAAGGAACAUACAAGAUGGUUCUCUCUUUUCAAGGUGAUUGAACUCUAAUGGGGCAAAACUGAACACAGGAAAAUAAGCACUCAAGAACAAGUAACUAUUAAACAGCAAAAAGGAGCCUAGAGAAGUUUCAGAAUCAGGGAUAUAAACUGGGCUUGAGGGAAGGAGAGGAUCUGGACAAGGAAGAGAAAAUUAAAGGCAUUUAAUGGACAACAAGCAUAUGCAACAAACAAUGGACUGGAGCUGGGUGAGACCCGGGUGAAAGUCUAGGAAAGGAUACGUGUGCUCUCAGCCGGAUGUUGAACCAGGACCCCUGUGAAGCCCCCAUCAAUGGAAGACUCUGUGGUGGUGUCAUAUGUGCCUGUUGUAGAAGAUCUGACAAAACCUUAGCAAACCUUUCCUGGAAGCCAGGUAGGGCACUUAUAGCAAUCACCCUGGUAAAGAAAGGGAAUCCCUGGAUAAUGCUAGAAACCCCGCCCAGCGUCCUCUCACGGGAAGUCACAACCCUUCUGUCCGUUAAAGUCUCCAUGCAGGAAGGGCUUCUGGUCACCUCGGAGUCCUGGGAGUGACUCCUUACCGGUAGUUUACUGUUAAUGUGAGACAUUUGUGAAUAUUAAGAGAAUUCCUGACCUGGGUUUACAGGGGAGCAUCCAUUUCUGUUUUUUCCCACUCCCACUCUUUCUUUCUCUCUCUCUCUCAUCUUUAUGUUUCAGUUCUCACUCAAGCAGAUUAUCUAGCACAAUGUGUUAAGCAGUGGAGAGAGAUGAUGAAAUGAAUACCCAGUCUCUACAGAAGACUUGAAUAUAUGCAAUGAAUUGUUAGGCAACUGCGGCAAAAGAUUGAAAAUGGAAUCCAUAGAGAUUACCUUGAUAUAUAAAGAUAGUUUUAGACUUUGGACCCAAUUUAUCAAAGAGCUGAGGAUAAGCCUCAUAGCUCUGGUAGAGAGUCACCUGCACUGUUAUAAAGACGCUGCUUCAUGCAUAAUGCUUCUGUGACAUUCCUCUUCAAGGCUUCUGAGGACUCUCUCUGGAGAUAUUCUUGGGAAAGUGGUGGCAGUGAUCUUGAACUCUCAGCGCUUUACAGUCUGAUGGCCAUCAGCCAUUUCAGCGUGUAUAUUAUCUGGGCAUUCAUUCCAUGAGGUUUUCUCUAGUUCUUUUUUUUUUUUUUUUUUCUCUUUCAAAACUCCGAGAUCAUUUCUGGCACUAGUUCCCUGAAACCUAAAUUAGUUAAAUUUUCACUGAUAUUUAGAGAAAGCUUUUGUUCAUCUCAUAAAGAACCUCCAGUCUUUUUGAAGACAGAGAACUUAAAAGUCAGCUUUGGGGCAGAAUUCAUGUGUCUUUGUCUCUUUCAGUUGAUCUUGGCAACACCACACAUGUAACCCAAGACCAAAAUAAAGUUAUGUUCGGAAGGCAGUCACGAUUCAGUGAUCUUAUCCUGCAGAACGCCUUCUCUUGGCGUUUACAUCAUAUAAUUUGAAUCGUCCUGGAAAAGUUCUGAGUCUGCAAAACUGCCAGUGUGCAGCCAGAGGAUGAAAGUGGUGAGGUGUCAGCCCCCAGGAGCCCGAGGCUCACAGGCUGCAAGUCUUACCCCAAACGCCUGCUCUACUUUCUCCUGGCACUCACCCAAUGGGCCCAACCCUCAGAACCUUGAACAUGUUUGUGUAACCAGAGGUAAUGCCCUGCCAUGGGUACCAGGGGUGCAGACCUGCAGAUUUCAACUUCAAGUGGGAACUGAGCUUUACCCAUGAUGAAGGCCAAAAAAGAAGAUAAGAAAAAUAAG
Sus scrofa (pig) is the source of this 1965-nucleotide non-coding RNA. NCBI's taxonomy places the organism in Eukaryota, Metazoa, Chordata, Mammalia, Artiodactyla, Suidae. The record is from RefSeq and is a predicted model, not a curated record.